GUGUUAGUGGAAGCGUCUGGAAAGGCGCGCGAUACAGGGUGACAGCCCCGUACACAAAAAUGCACAUACUGUGAGCUCGAUGAGUAGGGCGGGACACGUGGUAUCCUGUCUGAAUAUGGGGGGACCAUCCUCCAAGGCUAAAUACUCCUGACUGACCGAUAGUGAACCAGUACCGUGAGGGAAAGGCGAAAAGAACCCCGGCGAGGGGAGUGAAAAAGAACCUGAAACCGUGUACGUACAAGCAGUGGGAGCCUCUUAAUGGGGUGACUGCGUACCUUUUGUAUAAUGGGUCAGCGACUUAUAUUCUGUAGCAAGGUUAACCGAAUAGGGGAGCCGAAGGGAAACCGAGUCUUAACUGGGCGUUAAGUUGCAGGGUAUAGACCCGAAACCCGGUGAUCUAGCCAUGGGCAGGUUGAAGGUUGGGUAACACUAACUGGAGGACCGAACCGACUAAUGUUGAAAAAUUAGCGGAUGACUUGUGGCUGGGGGUGAAAGGCCAAUCAAACCGGGAGAUAGCUGGUUCUCCCCGAAAGCUAUUUAGGUAGCGCCUCGUGAAUUCAUCUCCGGGGGUAGAGCACUGUUUCGGCAAGGGGGUCAUCCCGACUUACCAACCCGAUGCAAACUGCGAAUACCGGAGAAUGUUAUCACGGGAGACACACGGCGGGUGCUAACGUCCGUCGUGAAGAGGGAAACAACCCAGACCGCCAGCUAAGGUCCCAAAGUCAUGGUUAAGUGGGAAACGAUGUGGGAAGGCCCAGACAGCCAGGAUGUUGGCUUAGAAGCAGCCAUCAUUUAAAGAAAGCGUAAUAGCUCACUGGUCGAGUCGGCCUGCGCGGAAGAUGUAACGGGGCUAAACCAUGCACCGAAGCUGCGGCAGCGACACUAUGUGUUGUUGGGUAGGGGAGCGUUCUGUAAGCCUGUGAAGGUGUACUGUGAGGUAUGCUGGAGGUAUCAGAAGUGCGAAUGCUGACAUAAGUAACGAUAAAGCGGGUGAAAAGCCCGCUCGCCGGAAGACCAAGGGUUCCUGUCCAACGUUAAUCGGGGCAGGGUGAGUCGACCCCUAAGGCGAGGCCGAAAGGCGUAGUCGAUGGGAAACAGGUUAAUAUUCCUGUACUUGGUGUUACUGCGAAGGGGGGACGGAGAAGGCUAUGUUGGCCGGGCGACGGUUGUCCCGGUUUAAGCGUGUAGGCUGGUUUUCCAGGCAAAUCCGGAAAAUCAAGGCUGAGGCGUGAUGACGAGGCACUACGGUGCUGAAGCGACAAAUGCCCUGCUUCCAGGAAAAGCCUCUAAGCAUCAGGUAACAUCAAAUCGUACCCCAAACCGACACAGGUGGUCAGGUAGAGAAUACCAAGGCGCUUGAGAGAACUCGGGUGAAGGAACUAGGCAAAAUGGUGCCGUAACUUCGGGAGAAGGCACGCUGAUAUGUAGGUGAAGCGACUUGCUCGUGGAGCUGAAAUCAGUCGAAGAUACCAGCUGGCUGCAACUGUUUAUUAAAAACACAGCACUGUGCAAACACGAAAGUGGACGUAUACGGUGUGACGCCUGCCCGGUGCCGGAAGGUUAAUUGAUGGGGUUAGCGGUAACGCGAAGCUCUUGAUCGAAGCCCCGGUAAACGGCGGCCGUAACUAUAACGGUCCUAAGGUAGCGAAAUUCCUUGUCGGGUAAGUUCCGACCUGCACGAAUGGCGUAAUGAUGGCCAGGCUGUCUCCACCCGAGACUCAGUGAAAUUGAACUCGCUGUGAAGAUGCAGUGUACCCGCGGCAAGACGGAAAGACCCCGUGAACCUUUACUAUAGCUUGACACUGAACAUUGAGCCUUGAUGUGUAGGAUAGGUGGGAGGCUUUGAAGUGUGGACGCCAGUCUGCAUGGAGCCGACCUUGAAAUACCACCCUUUAAUGUUUGAUGUUCUAACGUGGGCCCCUUACCGGGGUUGCGGACAGUGUCUGGUGGGUAGUUUGACUGGGGCGGUCUCCUCCUAAAGAGUAACGGAGGAGCACGAAGGUUGGCUAAUCCUGGUCGGACAUCAGGAGGUUAGUGCAAUGGCAUAAGCCAGCUUGACUGCGAGCGUGACGGCGCGAGCAGGUGCGAAAGCAGGUCAUAGUGAUCCGGUGGUUCUGAAUGGAAGGGCCAUCGCUCAACGGAUAAAAGGUACUCCGGGGAUAACAGGCUGAUACCGCCCAAGAGUUCAUAUCGACGGCGGUGUUUGGCACCUCGAUGUCGGCUCAUCACAUCCUGGGGCUGAAGUAGGUCCCAAGGGUAUGGCUGUUCGCCAUUUAAAGUGGUACGCGAGCUGGGUUUAGAACGUCGUGAGACAGUUCGGUCCCUAUCUGCCGUGGGCGCUGGAGAACUGAGGGGGGCUGCUCCUAGUACGAGAGGACCGGAGUGGACGCAUCACUGGUGUUCGGGUUGUCAUGCCAAUGGCACUGCCCGGUAGCUAAAUGCGGAAGAGAUAAGUGCUGAAAGCAUCUAAGCACGAAACUUGCCCCGAGAUGAGUUCUCCCUGACUCCUUGAGAGUCCUGAAGGAACGUUGAAGACGACGACGUUGAUAGGCCGGGUGUGUAAGCGCAGCGAUGCGUUGAGCUAACCGGUACUAAUGAACCGUGAGGCUUAACCUU
RNAcentral lists this ribosomal RNA (2616 nucleotides) under Escherichia coli. RNAcentral's name for it is "partial 23S ribosomal RNA". It matches the Rfam family "Bacterial large subunit ribosomal RNA", at positions 326 to 2925 of the family's 2925-position model. The record is from RNAcentral. Lineage: Bacteria; Pseudomonadati; Pseudomonadota; Gammaproteobacteria; Enterobacterales; Enterobacteriaceae. RNAcentral also lists the same sequence under 1 other name.